Molecule: unclassified non-coding RNA, 138 nt
Filed under: rhizosphere metagenome
Description: partial ribosomal RNA internal transcribed spacer region
Source: RNAcentral
GUAGGUGAACCUGCGGAAGGAUCAUUGACGCUUUGAGGAGGGAAAGAGUGAAGAGCGGGGGAGUAACUUCUCCUGAGAGAGAAAUCAAAUACUGGAUUCACAUUACUACAACUUUUAACAAUGGAUCUCUUGGCUCUU